Non-coding RNA from Nothobranchius furzeri (turquoise killifish), 115 nucleotides. NCBI's taxonomy places the organism in Eukaryota, Metazoa, Chordata, Actinopteri, Cyprinodontiformes, Nothobranchiidae. The record is from RefSeq and is a predicted model, not a curated record.
GUACUGUGGUUUCUCUUCAGUCCGCAUAAGUCUUUCGCCUUUUACUAAAAAUUUCCGUGGAGAGUGACAUUAAUGAGCAUAAGCAAUUUUUGCCAGGCUCUUCCUCUUGGCUAUG